UACGUGGGGUGCGAGCGUUGUUCGGAAUCAUUGGGCGUAAAGCGCACGUAGGCGGGUUCGUAAGUCGAUUGUGAAAGCCCUAGGCUUAACCUGGGAAUUGCAGUCGAAACUGCGAAUCUUGAAUACCUGAGAGGGUGGGAGAAUUCCUGGUGGAGUAGUGAAAUACGUAGAGAUCAGGAGGAAUACCGGAGGCGAAGGCGCCUGCCUGGCGGUGUAUUGACGCUGAGGUGCGAAAGCGUGGGGAGCAAACAGG
RNAcentral lists this unclassified non-coding RNA (253 nucleotides) under uncultured Oligoflexaceae bacterium. RNAcentral's name for it is "contains 16S-23S intergenic spacer region". It matches the Rfam family "Bacterial small subunit ribosomal RNA", at positions 524 to 776 of the family's 1533-position model. The record is from RNAcentral. Lineage: Bacteria; Pseudomonadati; Bdellovibrionota; Oligoflexia; Oligoflexales; Oligoflexaceae.